Long non-coding RNA from Cyprinus carpio carpio, 1072 nucleotides. The record is from Ensembl. NCBI's taxonomy places the organism in Eukaryota, Metazoa, Chordata, Actinopteri, Cypriniformes, Cyprinidae.
GUGAGACCUCCGUUCAUCUUCGGAACACAGUAUAAGAUAUUUUAGAUUUAGUCCGAGAGCUUUCUGUCCCUCCAUUGAGAAUGUAUGUACGGUAUACUGUCCACGUCCAGAAAGGUAAUAAAAACAUCUUCAAAGUAGUCCAUGUGACCAUCAUGACAGAAAUUCACAAAUGUAUAAAUUGUAAGAAAAAAACAGCUGCAGUGUGAGACCUGAAAUGCAUCAUGUAACUUGAAGAAUUAAAAUACUGUCUACACAUGUGUUUGUAAGGAAGGUUGGGAAUUAAUAACUUACAUUUAACUUAUACUUAAUAAUUUCUUUAUCCAAAACGGCUGUCACGUCAUGUGACAAAAGAUCUCAGACCGAAGACUCGGGAGGUGAACUAAUUAUUUGUCUUUGCGGUACAGACUGCACAGCCUCUCUAUGGGAUGAAUGAACGACUCAAAGAGGUGAACUAUUUCUAUUUCCUGUAAAGAACCUAUAGGAUGUUGCACAUGCAUCGUCAACACAAAAUGAAUAAAUCCCUGGCUGAGACAACUCUUGUCAAAUUGAACAGUGUACAGAGUAGGAGGUAUGAUAAUAUUGUGUAUCUAACUAGUGACAUUUCACAUAUUGUAGAUAGCUAGUUAAUUCUUUGAAAGUCAGGCGUGACUAUAAAGUUAUAUAACAGUAUAAUAAGUGAAAACAGCCUUCUGUUAUGUUAAUUUCUUUGUAAUAUUUCCCAUAAUUAUCAACAUUGUUGUUCACACUGGAAGUAAGUAUAGUUAAGCUAUAUCCAAUGAGCAAGAGUGUCCUCACAAUUGCAAAUAUGAACAGUUAUAAAAAAAUGAAUGCAAUGUUGAAUAAAAUAUAUUUCUAAUAUAUUGCAAUUUCACCAACAAAAAUAGUUUGAAACAAAGCCACAGCUGAACCAAUUUCGCUGCGCAACACUGGUGUUUGUUUCAUCCCUGAGCAUCCCUCGUUUUUGAACAAAUUGCCUACAUAAACAAUUAAAGUGACUUACUCAUUAAAACUUAGUGACUCUGCCACCUACCGAUGUUUUAAUUUAAUAUUUAACAUAUAAAUUAGUUUGGAC